RNAcentral lists this non-coding RNA (45 nucleotides) under Thelohanellus kitauei. RNAcentral describes it as "Guanidine-II sequence". It matches the Rfam family "Guanidine-II riboswitch aptamer (mini-ykkC)". Rfam says of the family: Simpler in structure and has fewer highly conserved nucleotide positions than the ykkC-yxkD leader. The record is from Rfam by way of RNAcentral. Lineage: Eukaryota; Metazoa; Cnidaria; Myxozoa; Bivalvulida; Myxobolidae. RNAcentral also lists the same sequence under 1 other name.
CUUACGGGACGACCUGUAAGCGUUUCACAUCUGGGGACGGCCCCA